Molecule: transfer RNA, 72 nt
Filed under: Camelus bactrianus (Bactrian camel)
Lineage: Eukaryota; Metazoa; Chordata; Mammalia; Artiodactyla; Camelidae
Also listed under: 2 other names
Rfam family: tRNA
About the family: Transfer RNA (tRNA) molecules are approximately 80 nucleotides in length. Their secondary structure includes four short double-helical elements and three loops (D, anti-codon, and T loops).
Source: Rfam by way of RNAcentral
GAGGGUACAGCUCAGUGGCAGAGUGAGUGCUUAGUGUGCACGAGGUCCUGGGUUCAAUCCCCAGUACCUACU